GUGAAGCUAGCUCACCACUCUAGUGAGAGCUAUCCCUCCACAGGUUCCAGGGCAGGAAACAGAAAGGCUUCGACUUCUGACCUCCAAAACAUCAGGCCUCUCUAGGAGUCCAAGAUAGGAAUUUGAAUGGAUAGAAACAAAAAGAGAAGGCAUGGUCUUUGGCAAUAAUUCUCCUUCUCUUGGUGAUGUCCAUGAGAUUACAUGACCCUGAAUGAAUCAAUGGCCUGAAAGAAUAACUCAUGGUGCACUAAGUAAGAAUCAAAUUUCAUGUCUGGACUUUCCUUCUGAAAUGGGAACACUGUGGUACAAAGUUCCAGAAGAUUCUGCCAGAGCUCACAGAAGCUGCCUCCUACAGGAACAGGCAAAAACAUUAAAAACCUUUGUUGUAGCCUCUCUCUGGCUUGGGUGUGGCCUUGUGACAUGGCUCUACAUAAUCCUUUCUAGGAGCCCAGGAGGAGAGAAAUGCCCAGGAAAGACAUCUCUUCACCUCAGAAAAGAAAGGUCAACUACAAGAAAAAAUGACGCAAAAGCCCAGCUCUUAGAUCUAAGCAUCCUCAUGUGUGAAAAUCCAGGUAAAGUGUGCCAGGUCCCACCAAAGCCCACCAAUCUUAGAGUCGACCUGGCUGUGUUGUCAGCGAAUGAUCCUUUUGUGAGAAGACACACAAUGGUAUCAAAUCACAGAAUCACAAGAACAGCACUCUGCCUCAGUCUGCCCUCAGCUCAGUCAGGAAAAGUGUGGAAAACUAAAUUUUAAAAUAAUAACAAUAAAUAAACAGGAUUUUAGACCCA
RNAcentral lists this long non-coding RNA (789 nucleotides) under Mus spicilegus (steppe mouse). RNAcentral's name for it is "lncRNA (ENSMSIG00000030093.1)". Lineage: Eukaryota; Metazoa; Chordata; Mammalia; Rodentia; Muridae. The record is from RNAcentral.